GUAGGUGGCAAGCGUUGUCCGGAAUUAGUUGGGACGUAAAGCGCGCGCAGGUCGGUUACUUUAAGUCUGAUGUGAAAGCCCACGGGCUCAACCGUGGAGGGUCAUUGGAAACUGGAGAACUUGAGUACAGAAGAGGAAAGCGGAAUUCCACGUGUAGCGGUGAAAUGCGUAGAGAUGUGGAGGAACACCAGUGGCGAAGGCGGCUUUCUGGUCUGUAACUGACGCUGAGGCGCGAAAGCGUGGGGAGCAAACAGGAUUAGAUACCCUGGUAGUCCACGCCGUAAACGAUGAGUGCUAAGUGUUAGGGGGUUUCCGCCCCUUAGUGCUGCAGCUAACGCAUUAAGCACUCCGCCUGGGGAGUACGGCCGCAAAGGCUG
Molecule: ribosomal RNA, 377 nt
Filed under: uncultured organism
Description: partial 16S ribosomal RNA
Rfam family: Bacterial small subunit ribosomal RNA
Source: RNAcentral